UGAUUAGUUUUGGAGUACGUAUCAGAAGUGCGUUUGCAUAAAAAUUCAAUACUUGUAAAUGCACUAUCUGGUACGACACUCCAGAGCAAACGUUCUU
This 97-nucleotide microRNA precursor is filed under the name Mayetiola destructor (Hessian fly). RNAcentral describes it as "microRNA mir-277". The stretch from base 4 to 89 matches the Rfam family "mir-277 microRNA precursor family". Lineage: Eukaryota; Metazoa; Arthropoda; Insecta; Diptera; Cecidomyiidae. The record is from RNAcentral.